UACGUAGGGUGCAAGCGUUGUCCGGAAUUAUUGGGCGUAAAGAGCUCGUAGGCGGUUUGUCGCGUCUGCUGUGAAAACGCGAGGCUCAACCUCGCGCCUGCAGUGGGUACGGGCAGACUAGAGUGCGGUAGGGGAGAUUGGAAUUCCUGGUGUAGCGGUGGAAUGCGCAGAUAUCAGGAGGAACACCGGUGGCGAAGGCGGGUCUCUGGGCAGUAACUGACGCUGAGGAGCGAAAGUGUGGGGAGCGAACAGG
RNAcentral lists this ribosomal RNA (253 nucleotides) under uncultured bacterium. Its description in RNAcentral is "partial 16S ribosomal RNA". It matches the Rfam family "Bacterial small subunit ribosomal RNA", at positions 524 to 776 of the family's 1533-position model. The record is from RNAcentral.